CGUAGGGUGCGAGCGUUGUCCGGAAUUAUUGGGCGUAAAGGGCUCGUAGGCGGUUUGUCGCGUCGGGAGUGAAAUCCAUGGGCUUAACUUAUGGCUUGCUUUCGAUACGGGCAGACUAGAGGUAUGCAGGGGAGAACGGAAUUCCUGGUGUAGCGGUGAAAUGCGCAGAUAUCAGGAGGAACACCGGUGGCGAAGGCGGUUCUCUGGGCGUGAUCUGACGCUGAGGAGCGAAAGUGUGGGGAGCGAACAGGAUUAGAUACCCUGGUAGUCCACACCGUAAACGUUGGGCGCUAGGUGUGGGAUCCAUUCCACGGGUUCCGUGCCGCAGCUAACGCAUUAAGCGCCCCGCCUGGGGAGUACGGCCGCAAGGCUA
Molecule: ribosomal RNA, 373 nt
Filed under: uncultured organism
Description: bacterial SSU rRNA
Rfam family: Bacterial small subunit ribosomal RNA
Source: RNAcentral